GCCCGAACCUCCGCCUGGCUUUAAAAUGCCUGGUUGUUCAACGGAGGAUUGUACGAAUUCUUCGGUGAAGAGAUUUAAAAUGGUAAGCAGGGCUGGAGAUAUUGUGUACACCAUAACUAAUGCUGAAAAAAGGUGUUCUGGGAGAUCGGCGAUAUCUCUGUCAUUUUUCAUU
Molecule: long non-coding RNA, 172 nt
Organism: Trachymyrmex septentrionalis
Lineage: Eukaryota; Metazoa; Arthropoda; Insecta; Hymenoptera; Formicidae
Exons: 3
Source: RefSeq, a predicted model, not a curated record